CCCUAUUUUCCUUAAUUCCACACCCUCCCUUCUCUCCACCCUUCUGCCGCUGACAUCCCCUCCCCUGUUGCCAUCGUAACCGAUGUCGUCACCACUUCCUCCUCUACCACAACCAUCAGUUCUUCCUCCAUUGCCACCACUCUCUUAUUUUUCCUCUUUUACCACCAUUGUUGCCGCCACCUUCUUCUCUACCUCUGCCUCCACAACAAUCAUCACCUCCACCUUCGUUGUCAUCACCAACAUCUCAUUUGCCACUCUACCAUCCUCUUUUUUACCUCCCUUGCUACAACAAUUAUUGUAAUUGUUGCAGCAACUUGAGCAAUUGUUGAAAAAUCUUCAACAGUUGCUACAAUAACUUCAACAGUUGUUGAGCAAACUUUAGCGGUUGCUGAAACAACUUCAACAAUUGCUACAAUAACUUCAGCAGUUAUUGCGACAACUUCAGUUGUUGCUUGAUUUUCUACAAAAAAACAAUUCAAU
Molecule: long non-coding RNA, 480 nt
Filed under: Solanum tuberosum (potato)
Lineage: Eukaryota; Viridiplantae; Streptophyta; Magnoliopsida; Solanales; Solanaceae
Description: long non-coding RNA (STUB_LNC003189)
Source: RNAcentral